Molecule: long non-coding RNA, 927 nt
Organism: Rosa chinensis
Lineage: Eukaryota; Viridiplantae; Streptophyta; Magnoliopsida; Rosales; Rosaceae
Exons: 2
Source: RefSeq, a predicted model, not a curated record
AAAAAAAAAAAAAAAAAAAAAUAUCUGACUUUGAGGGUGUUAUAGGAAGUGAAAAAAUAUGUGAUAUGAAAUAUUAUUAAAAAAAUAAGAGGGUGUGUGAUUUGCAAUUUUGGAUGUGCAAAUUUCACCCCCCUUGUUUUAUUGUGUGAUAUAUAUAAAUAUAUAUACACACAUCACCAAAACGUGCUGUGUAGAUAUAUAUAGCUAUAUAUGCUAUCUCUAUAAUUAUAGACCAGCCCAUUAUUUGUGUUUUUUUUUAACCCAAGCCAAUUUUAAAAGCCCAAUUAAGAGCAAUUGACAUGUACUUAUGUUGGAUGUCGUUUAACGACAAACCAAUCUUUGAAAAAAUCAAAAUCUGGUUUGCUAUCUUCAUCGUCUUCCUCCCCUAUUUUGAUUCUCUUUGCAAGCACCACUCCACCUAAACUAAAGGAUCAGUACCACUACGAUAGACCACCCUGAUAAGAAUAAUUUUAGAAGCUGGAGGUGUCGAUGUUGUUGAAGAGCCUUGGGGAGUCAGUUACCAGAGUUGUGAUUCAUCAAAGCUAGUAGUAGGAGGUGGAUCCCUAGAAGCAUGAGGUGGAGACCUAGAACCAGGAGGUGGCAGUCCAUAUCAAAACAUAGAGGAAGCUGAUGGUGUUGGCAUCCAAUUCUACUCUCUGUUGUGCUUAUCUAGAAUUAAAAUCUGACCUCUUUGCCAUACACUAUGAAUAUCCAGGUACUGAACAUGAAGUUUAAUUUUCCCUUUUGAAGAGCUUUGUGAUUGAUGUGAAGGAAGUGUGAGACUUGUCUUGUUUAGUUUCCUAGAAUAAGAGCAAAGGCUGCCAGUUUGUGGUUUGCCUUUGAAGUAUAGGUUUGAAUUUUCUGUGGGAAUAAUGAACUAUCACGAAAGUGUGUACUGUAAUCUAUAUAAUUAUGUUUGCUGCAUUA